This 1135-nucleotide long non-coding RNA is filed under the name Cricetulus griseus (Chinese hamster). Its description in RNAcentral is "lncRNA (ENSCGRG00015042786.1)". The record is from RNAcentral. Lineage: Eukaryota; Metazoa; Chordata; Mammalia; Rodentia; Cricetidae.
CUUUGUUGGAGUAGGUGUGGCCUUCCUUAUAGGAGGACGUGUGUCACUGGAGGAGGGCUUUGCUCAAGCUAUGUUCAGUGUGACAAACAGUUCACUUCCUGUUGCCUUUGUAUCAAGAUGUAGAACUCUCAGCUCCUUCUCCAGCACCAUGUCUGCCUGCUAUGAUAACAAUGGACUAAACCUCUGAAACUCUACCUUCCCUCGUGUGUCUGGUACAACAUUUUGUCGUGGAACAGAAGAACCUGGAAACUUUCAAGUCAUGGGUCCUCACCCCACCCCCAGUCUGCCUAAAGCACCAUAGAUUUAAUCAUGACUUCAGUCUUUCCGUGUUGAGACAGGAGCGGGUGAUUGGGAGUUAUCCAAUGUCCGGCAGAUAAAGACCGGGUGGAUCCAUGAAGGCAGAUUCUUGCCUGUAUCCCCAGCUGAUGAAUCUGGCUCUCUCAGCUCCUAUUAAACCCUCUUUCUACACCAAGGGACUAGGAAGCAGAGAAGAGUCCAGCAGGGGGAAAAAGAAAAAGUCAUUUCUAUCCAAGUCUCAAGAGCUACGAUUGGCUUAGCUAGUCCUGGGAUGAUUUGUGAAAUGAAAGGAAACUUGACUCCAAGAACUGCCGCCAGGAGAAGCCUUGGGGAUGGAGGCCAAGCAUUCAAACAAGAGGUUGAAGUUGAGCAAUGGAUGGCAGCACUCCAGGCACCAGAAGGGACCAGAUGCACCUGCCUAGGCACUGAAGCUUGACAGGACUCGGGCAGGCCCGACCUAACCAGAGAGGUGUGGGAGGAGGCAGAGCAAAGGGCCUGACUGGAGAAGCUGGCCACGACCCAAUCUCUUCCUGAUUUGAUCAUGGCCAUUCUUCCUGCACCAGAAUCCCAAGAACAAGGUUAGUGGUCCUGCUCUUACAUGCAUACCUCCCAUUUGUCUUCCAACAUAAACAAUUCGGAAACUAAAAGAUAGAAAUCUUCACCCUUCUUCUCUUUGGCUGACAAUGAGACCAUGUAGGUUUUUAGGACAUCAUCUCCCAUGAUUCUGGACCAGGCAAAAUGACAGAAAUCACGUGAGACUGGAGUGUUCCAUCACUGAGAAGAUCAACGGCCACUGGCCUGGCCUACGCAGCAAGAUUCUAGGUCAAAAAUAAAAAAU